CUACGGAGGAUGCAAGCGUUAUCCGGAUUUAUUGGGUUUAAAGGGUGCGUAGGCGGUUUGCUAAGCGGGAGGUGAAAUGCCGGCGCUCAACGUCGGAAGUGCCUCCCGAACUGGUGGACUGGAAUGACUCUGCCGUGGGAGGAAUGUGUAGUGUAGCGGUGAAAUGCUUAGAGAUUACACAGAACACCGAUUGCGAAGGCAUCUCACGAAGGGUUGAUUGACGCUGAGGCACGAAAGCGUGGGGAUCAAACAGGAUUAGAUACCCUGGUAGUCCACGCAGUAAACGAUGAUGGCUAACCGCUGGAUCCAUCGGUUCAGUGGCCAAGCGAAAGCGAUAAGCCAUCCACCUGGGGAGUACGACCGCAAGGUUGAAACUCAAAUGAAUUGACGGGG
This 393-nucleotide ribosomal RNA is filed under the name uncultured bacterium. RNAcentral's name for it is "partial 16S ribosomal RNA". It matches the Rfam family "Bacterial small subunit ribosomal RNA", at positions 523 to 918 of the family's 1533-position model. The record is from RNAcentral.